RNAcentral lists this ribosomal RNA (366 nucleotides) under Triticum aestivum (bread wheat). Its description in RNAcentral is "partial small subunit ribosomal RNA". The record is from RNAcentral. Lineage: Eukaryota; Viridiplantae; Streptophyta; Magnoliopsida; Poales; Poaceae.
AUGGCAUCACCUUCAAGACUUUUUGUCCUAAACAGUGGCCUUGACGAUAUACAAAAGGAUGCCAUCAGUGAUAUAAGCUUCAGGGGCGUGCUUGAUAUUGGCACAAGAUCAAUGAAAGGAGAUCUUGUGAAGUUUGUCAUGAAGUGUUAUGAUCCAGAGUUGUCACAGCUUGUUAUCCCAGAUAGGGGGAAGAUCGCAGUUGAUGCAGCAAGCGUAGAAAGAAUCUGGGGUUUGCCAAGGUGGCAGAGGAAGGUUGCGUAUGAAGUGGAGCCAGACGUAGUUAGUUUGUUCAACGAGACGUUCAACAUCCCGAUAGGGCCCGUGCCAACAGUGACCCAGUGGUGUAAAAUAAUAAAGGAUAUGUGA